CGUCACUCCUGCGGGAGGCAGCAGUGGGGAAUAUUGGACAAUGGGCGCAAGCCUGAUCCAGCCAUGCCGCGUGAGUGAUGAAGGCCCUAGGGUUGUAAAGCUCUUUCACCGGUGAAGAUAAUGACGGUAACCGGAGAAGAAGCCCCGGCUAACUUCGUGCCAGCAGCCGCGGUAAUACGAAGGGGGCUAGCGUUGUUCGGAUUUACUGGGCGUAAAGCGCACGUAGGCGGACUAUUAAGUCAGGGGUGAAAUCCCGGGGCUCAACCCCGGAACUGCCUUUGAUACUGGUAGUCUUGAGUUCGAGAGAGGUGAGUGGAAUUCCGAGUGUAGAGGUGAAAUUCGUAGAUAUUCGGAGGAACACCAGUGGCGAAGGCGGCUCACUGGCUCGAUACUGACGCUGAGGUGCGAAAGCGUGGGGAGCAAACAGUAUUAGAAACCCGUGUAGUCCCA
This 450-nucleotide ribosomal RNA is filed under the name uncultured organism. RNAcentral's name for it is "partial 16S ribosomal RNA". It matches the Rfam family "Bacterial small subunit ribosomal RNA", at positions 331 to 797 of the family's 1533-position model. The record is from RNAcentral.